This 442-nucleotide ribosomal RNA is filed under the name uncultured bacterium. Its description in RNAcentral is "partial 16S ribosomal RNA". It matches the Rfam family "Bacterial small subunit ribosomal RNA", at positions 338 to 795 of the family's 1533-position model. The record is from RNAcentral.
CCUACGGGAGGCAGCAGUGGGGAAUAUUGCACAAUGGGCGCAAGCCUGAUGCAGCAACGCCGCGUGAAGGAAGACGGUUUUCGGAUUGUAAACUUCUAUCAAUAGGGAAGAAAGAAAUGACGGUACAUAAAUAAGAAGCCCCGGCUAACUACGUGCCAGAAGUCGCGGUAAUACGUAGGGGGCAAGCGUUAUGCGGAAUUACUGGGUGUAAGGGAGAGUAGGCGGCAGGAUAAGCGAUAUGUGAAAUGCGUAAGCUUAACAUAAGGAGUGCAUAACGAACUGUCUAGAUAGAGUACAGGAGAGGAAAGCGGAAUGCGUGGUGUAGCGGUGAAAUGCAUAGAUAUUAGGAAGAACACCGAUGGCGAAGGCAGCUUACUGGACUGAAACUGACGCUGAGGCUCGAAAGCGUGGGGAGCGAACAGGAUUAGAUACCCUUGUAGUC